RNAcentral lists this ribosomal RNA (252 nucleotides) under uncultured bacterium. RNAcentral's name for it is "partial 16S ribosomal RNA". It matches the Rfam family "Bacterial small subunit ribosomal RNA", at positions 524 to 776 of the family's 1533-position model. The record is from RNAcentral.
UACGUAGGGGGCUAGCGUUAUCCGGAAUUACUGGGCGUAAAGGGUGCGUAGGUGGUUUCUUAAGUCAGAGGUGAAAGGCUACGGCUCAACCGUAGUAAGCCUUUGAAACUGGGAAACUUGAGUGCAGGAGAGGAGAGUGGAAUUCCUAGUGUAGCGGUGAAAUGCGUAGAUAUUAGGAGGAACACCAGUUGCGAAGGCGGCUCUCUGGCCUGUAACUGACACUGAGGCUCGAAAGCGUGGGGAGCAAACAGG